AUGUGCCUCCGCGGAUUCGUGCCACGGUUGCCGGAGGCGUGGGCGCCGCGGGUCACCUCUCCAGAUCGGUGGAGGCCAAGGGCAAGGGCAAGGAGGAGGGGAGAAGAAGACCUUCGGCCAGCUGCGGGAAGCCGGCGCUGGCGUCCUCCGCGGCAUCCACCGGCGCCGGUGGCGGGCAGAAGCGCCAGUGCCACGACCACGCGCACUCCGAGAACGUCGCCGGCGGAAAGUACGGCCGGCUUCGUCUGCUCCAAGCGCAGGAAGUCCCGGGUUCGGCGGAUGACUCGCGUGCCGGCAAUCAGCUCGAAGGCGGCGGAUAUCCCCGCGGACGACUUCUCGUGGCGCAAGUACGGGCAGAAGCUGCCUGUGGAGAAUGCCCUGGACUCAGCAGUUGACGUAACUCGGUUGAGCUGCGGUGCACUAUAUUUAGCUGAUUUUAUUGGGAAGGCUGCAUUACAGGAGAUGGAUACGAAGUCCUCGGAGGAGGAAUACAAAGCUCUACAAGGUGAUGGAGCUGGAGAUGUGUAUUUCCAGUCUCUUGAAGAACGAAUCAUUAAUAUGAAGAUUUUGCAGGGAUGUAUAUAUAUGGUCAUGUUUCACUGGGAUCCUCAACUGUUCCAGUUCGUAUUUAGCAGGAUCACAUGUUGA
RNAcentral lists this ribosomal RNA (648 nucleotides) under Triticum aestivum (bread wheat). RNAcentral describes it as "partial small subunit ribosomal RNA". Lineage: Eukaryota; Viridiplantae; Streptophyta; Magnoliopsida; Poales; Poaceae. The record is from RNAcentral.